RNAcentral lists this long non-coding RNA (1263 nucleotides) under Apis florea (little honeybee). RNAcentral describes it as "uncharacterized LOC116414629, transcript variant X1". Lineage: Eukaryota; Metazoa; Arthropoda; Insecta; Hymenoptera; Apidae. The record is from RNAcentral.
AUUUUCAAGAGGAUUGUUCGUGGAUUAAUAUUAAUUGCUAAAUGUUUUUCGCAGAAGAAAAGGUGGUCGAUUUCGUGGAACACCGCGUACGAAUGGUGUCGUGAUCGUUCCCAGAAGGAUUCGUAAUUAAACGAGGAGAUCGCAUUCCGAUACAGGGGGCCGUUUCUCUUGGUGCACAUACAAUCAGCAUAAGCGAUCGUCUGCGUGCGAAUUCGGACUGAGAAUAUCGGUGCGUCUGUCCGGAGAAAAAAUAUUGUUAUAAGGCGAGAGCAUCCCCUCUCGUAAAUAUCGUACCGUUAAAACGCAUCCGAGCCGAAGAAGCUAUUCCAUCCCUUAAAUUUAAGAUUAGCCGCGUACAUCACGUUUUAAACGACGUUGAAAAAAUAUUUUGAACGAAGUGUAGAUAUCGGAUAGAUAAUAUUCGAGAAUUUGAAUUCGAGGUUAAUUAGGAUUGGAAAUUGGAAGAUAUUCGAAAGGAUCGAGCGAAUACGAAAUUUAAGAAAUAUUAGACGGCUAAAUGAUUUCUGAGUUAUUCAAUUCUUCGAUAAUUUAAAGAAAUUGCUCAAAAUUGGAUACAAAAUAGGAGGGCGUAACAAAGAAACUCGUUUCACAGUCCAUCGUAUUUAUUGCCUUCCAUCAUAUUUAGACAGAACAGAAAACCUACACAACAUCCUCGUCAAUAUUUUUCCUUCGUAACAAAAUAAUUACCAAUAAAAGAAGCCUAUAUUUUCCAAUGCACACAUUUCGAAAAGCUCGAGUCAUCCCAGUUCCCCAAGUUCCCAACCAAACCUUCUUACUUAAAUGAAUACCCAACCACCGUAUCACACACCAAAAUCAAUCCUUUCACUAAAAAUUAGGACCUCCACGAGUCCACACCCACCGAGAGCCUCCUUUUCCCAAGACCAAGGGGCCCAUUAGGCCCCUAACCAACGAGAGAUCCUUAAACGAUCUUCGAAACCCAAACCACCUCCAUACCAAACUCUCCUUAAACUCUCCUUCCAUUCCCAAAUCUAGAGCAUCCUCUAUGCCCAAAACCGAUUCCCAUUAGUGGGAAGGCAGGCCCCGAUCAGGGGAGGGAAUCGGCGCGUUUGUCGAGAGUAUUUCGCGCCUACCGAACCCGGUCCCGGAGCGCGGCUUUAAUUAAAAAUUAAUCGGCGCAAAUUAAUUUAAAUGCAAAAAGUGGGGCCCCGGGACCCGGGGCCCCGAGGGGGUGGAGCAGCGUUCGGCCGGUAGGCGGGGCCACUGAGUUAGGCGAUCGUUACG